RNAcentral lists this ribosomal RNA (439 nucleotides) under uncultured bacterium. RNAcentral's name for it is "partial 16S ribosomal RNA". It matches the Rfam family "Bacterial small subunit ribosomal RNA", at positions 339 to 795 of the family's 1533-position model. The record is from RNAcentral.
CUACGGGUUGCUGCAGUGAGGAAUAUUGCACAAUGGGGGGAACCCUGAUGCAGCAACGCCGCGUGGAGGAUGACGCAUUUCGGUGUGUAAACUCCUUUUAUAUGUCAAGAAAAUGACGGUAGCAUAUGAAUAAGCACCGGCUAACUCCGUGCCAGCAGCCGCGGUAAUACGGAGGGUGCAAGCGUUACUCGGAAUCACUGGGCGUAAAGGACGCGUAGGCGGGUUGGAAAGUCAGGUGUGAAAUCCUACAGCUUAACUGUAGAACUGCACUUGAAACUUCUAAUCUAGAGUAUGGGAGGGGGAGAUGGAAUUAGUGGUGUAGGGGUAAAAUCCGUAGAUAUCACUAGGAAUACCUAAAGCGAAGGCGAUCUUCUGGAACAUUACUGACGCUAAGGCGUGAAAGCGUGGGGGGCAAACAGGAUUAGAUACCCGAGUAGUC